AGAGUUUGAUCCCAGCUCAGGAUGAACGCUAGCGGUGCGCUUAACACAUUCAAGUCGUGCGAUCGAACCAGACGGAUUUUCCUUCGGGGACUGAAGACUGGUCACGGAGCGGCGAACUGGUGAGUAACACGUAGCUAACCUACCUUCUUGACAGGAACAACCAUUCGAAAGGAUGGCUAAUGCCUGAUGUUGUGCGGAGUUUAUGACUUCGUUCCAAAGGCGGUCUUGCCGCCGCAAGGAGAGGGGGCUGCGCUCUAUUAGCUUGUUGGUAGGGUAAUGGCCUACCAAGGCGAUAAUGGAUAGCUGGUCUGAGAGGACGAUCAGCCACAUUGGGACUGAGAUACGGCCCAGACUCCUACGGGAGGCAGCAGUGGGGAAUAUUGGACAAUGGACGAAAGUCCGAUCCAGCGACACCGCGUGGAGGAUGAAGGCUUUCGGGUUGUAAACUCCUUUUCUGGGGGAAGAAUAAGGUUGGGAGGAAAUGCCCAUCCGAUGACGGUACCCCAGGAAUAAGCAUCGGCAAACUUCGUGCCAGCAGCCGCGGUAAGACGAGGGAUGCAAGCGUUAUCCGGAAUUACUGGGCGUAAAGGGCGUCUAGGCGGUUGGAUAAGUCAUUUGUGAAAUCCCAGGGCUUAACCCUGGAAGGUCUUGUGAUACUGUCCGGCUUGGGUGUAGGAGAGGAGAGCGGAACUCACAGAGUAGCGGUGGAAUGCGUAGAUACUGUGAGGUACCCCGAUGGCGAAGGCAGCUCUCUGGCCUAUUACCGACGCUGAAGCGCGAAAGCGUGGGGAGCAAAGGGGAUUAGAUACCCCCGUAGUCCACGCCGCAAACGAUGUUCACUUGGUGUCGGGAGCCUAUAUAUCUCGGUGCCGGAGCUAACGCGUUAAGUGAACCGCCAGAGGAGUACGGCCGCAAGGCUAAAACUCAAGAGAAUUGACGGGUCCCCGCACAAGCGGUGGAGCACGUGGUUUAAUUCGAUAAGCGAAGAACCUCACCUGGGCUUGACAUACUAGUGGUAAGAACCGGAAACGGUGAUGACCUUUCCUUCGGGUUAGGAGCUAGUACAGGUGAUGCAUGGCUGUCGUCAGCUCGUGUCGUGGGAUGUAGGGUUAAGUCCCGAAACGAGCGCAACCCUUGUCACUAGUUGCCAGCGGAUAAUGCCGGGGACUCUAGUGAGACUGCUGGUGAAUAGCCGGAGGAAGGCGGGGAUGACGU
RNAcentral lists this ribosomal RNA (1215 nucleotides) under metagenome. Its description in RNAcentral is "bacterial SSU rRNA". It matches the Rfam family "Bacterial small subunit ribosomal RNA", at positions 8 to 1185 of the family's 1533-position model. The record is from RNAcentral.